GCGGAGGAAAAGAAACCAACAGGGAUUGCCCUAGUAACGGCGAGUGAAGCGGCAACAGCUCAAAUUUGAAAUCUGGCGUCUUUGGCGUCCGAGUUGUAAUUUGCAGAGGGCGCUUUGGCAUUGGCAGCGGUCCAAGUUCCUUGGAACAGGACGUCACAGAGGGUGAGAAUCCCGUACGUGGUCGCUAGCCUUUACCGUGUAAAGCCCCUUCGACGAGUCGAGUUGUUUGGGAAUGCAGCUCUAAAUGGGAGGUAAAUUUCUUCUAAAGCUAAAUACUGGCCAGAGACCGAUAGCGCACAAGUAGAGUGAUCGAAAGAUGAAAAGCACUUUGGAAAGAGAGUUAAAAAGCACGUGAAAUUGUUGAAAGGGAAGCGCUUGCAGCCAGACUUGCCUGUAGUUGCUCAUCCGGGUUUUUACCCGGUGCACUCUUCUACGGGCAGGCCAGCAUCAGUUUGGGCGGUUGGAUAAAGGUCUCUGUCACGUACCUCCUCUCGGGGAGAUCUUAUAGGGGAGACGACAUGCAACCAGCCUGGACUGAGGUC
Molecule: ribosomal RNA, 542 nt
Filed under: Epicoccum sp. f288
Lineage: Eukaryota; Fungi; Ascomycota; Dothideomycetes; Pleosporales; Didymellaceae
Description: eukaryotic LSU rRNA
Rfam family: Eukaryotic large subunit ribosomal RNA
Source: RNAcentral